CCCUCUUCAGUCUCAGGGUGUUUGUCCUUGAGACUGAAGCCCAAUAGACACUCUUCUACUAUGAUAUUUUGGGUCAUAGGAAACAAGCUUUAUGCUUUCCCUUCUCAUGUGCUGUUGACAGAUGGAUUGGUAGAAGUGUCCGGCCUAUUCCUAGUCUGUUUAGCAUUGACUGUGCACAUUUGGGAUUGUUGAAGGCCACACUGAUUCGUCUUCCUUUGCAACCUGUGAUUUCAUCCAGAAAUCACAUGGCUCACCAUGGAUUCUCAACAUCUGAAGAUGUGCUGUGCUGUUUGGAUCUCCCAGUUUUCACUCAUUCACCUCAACACUGGGUGGAAAUUCUUCAAUGACAGCAAGUGGAUGCUACUACUUAGCUCUGGAAACAUUUUCUACUUUCUAUAACAGCCUUUCCUAGUGUUUGCUUUUUCCAGUACAACUAAUAGUUAAGGUUGGAUAUGAUGCAUUAAUCUGCUAACUGUGUACUAAAGUUCUAGAUAUUUCCUUGGCACAUCAGUUUUUCCCAUUACUGCAGCCUUUCAGGGUAUUGUGGGCCAAAAUCUCUGCAAAUUAAUGGAGUGUGGGGGGGAAUCCCAUUAACAUUCCUCUUUCAUCUUCUAGAAAUUUGCUAGGAUUCCUCAGCCGCAAGUGGUAUUCUGUCUUUUCUCUUGCUUAUUCUUUUGUAUGUCCUGUAUUUUCCUUUCUAGCUUUUGCAUUCAAUCUACCCUCUUGCCAGAGCACUUAAAGUUUACUUCGGAUGACAUGGUUGAAAUAAAACUGCUACACUGAC
Molecule: long non-coding RNA, 784 nt
Organism: Rattus norvegicus (Norway rat)
Lineage: Eukaryota; Metazoa; Chordata; Mammalia; Rodentia; Muridae
Source: RefSeq, a predicted model, not a curated record